Molecule: transfer RNA, 82 nt
Filed under: Colletotrichum orbiculare MAFF 240422
Lineage: Eukaryota; Fungi; Ascomycota; Sordariomycetes; Glomerellales; Glomerellaceae
Description: tRNA-Leu (TAG) (tRNA-Leu-TAG-2-1)
Rfam family: tRNA
About the family: Transfer RNA (tRNA) molecules are approximately 80 nucleotides in length.
Source: RNAcentral
GGAAGGGUGGCCGAGUUGGUUAUGGCGCCAGGUUUAGGUCCUGGUGGGGCAACCCGCGCGAGUUCGAGUCUCGUCCCUCUCA